Molecule: ribosomal RNA, 501 nt
Filed under: uncultured eukaryote
Lineage: Eukaryota
Description: partial 18S ribosomal RNA
Rfam family: Eukaryotic small subunit ribosomal RNA
Source: RNAcentral
UGGAUACUAUGUAUUUAGUAAUUGGAAUGAGUACAAUUUAAAUCCCCUUAACAAGUAACAAUUAGAGGGCAAGUCUGGUGCCAGCAGCCGCGGUAAUUCCAGCUCUAAUAGCGUAUAUUAAUAUUGUUGCAGUUAAAAAGCUCGUAGUUGAAAUUUGGAACUUUAUUAUAUUGGUUUACCUUUUGGUGAACUGUAUGAUGGGUUUCUUCCUACUAGAGUUCGAUUCUGUUCUUAACUGAAUGGAGUAGCUAUCUCUCGGGGUAGUCAAUUGGUUAUUAUAUCUCCACUAAUAAGCAGAGAGGAGUAAAAAUCUUCAAAGUAAGUUAUGUGGGUCAAGGUAUAAUGAUUAAUUGGAGUUCUAGUUCAUUUACUUUGAGAAAAAUUAGAGUGUUUAAAGCAGCCUCUUGGGGCACUGAAUACAUUAGCAUGGGAUAAUAAAAUAGGAUCUUCACAAUAUAUUUUAUUGGUUUAAAUUGGAUAUGAAGAUAAUGAUUAAUAGGG